RNAcentral lists this ribosomal RNA (1025 nucleotides) under uncultured soil eukaryote. RNAcentral describes it as "SSU rRNA". It matches the Rfam family "Eukaryotic small subunit ribosomal RNA", at positions 13 to 1040 of the family's 1831-position model. The record is from RNAcentral.
CCUGCCAGUAGUCAUAUGCUUGUCUUAAAGAUUAAGCCAUGCAUGUCUAAGUAUAAACAUUUUGAACGUGAGACGGCGGACGGCUCAUUAAAUCAGUCAUAGUUUACGCGAAAGAUUCAACAAUCGGAUAACUGUAGUAAUUCUAGAGCUAAUACGUGCACCAAUGCCCGCCCGCAAGGGAGGGGUAUUCAUCAGAUUCAAACCUACCAUAGCAAUAUGUUUCAAGGGGGAAACAUGAUGACUGAUCAGAUCGCACAGCCUUGAGCUGGCGACAUUUCGUUCAAAUGUCUGCCCUAUCAACUUUCGAUGGUGGUGUAGUGGACUACCAUGGUGACAACGGGUAACGGGGAAUUAGGGUUCGGUUCCGGAGAGGGGGCCUGAGAGAUGGCCACCACUUCCAAGGAAGGCAGCAGGCGCGCAAAUUACCCAAUAAUACCACAUUGAGGUAGUGACAAUAAAUAACAAUACAGGCCUUUCAAAAGGGCUUGUAAUUGGAAUGAGUGUAAUUUAAAUCCUUUUGCGAGGAACAAUUGGAGGACAAGUCAGGUGCCAGCACCCGCGGUAAUUCCUGCUCCAAUAGCGUAUAUUAAAGUUGUUGCAGUUAAAAAGCUCGUAGUCGGACUCCAGAACCUAGUGCGUUGUUGGUCUGCCGAGAUGGUGUGUACUAACCGUACGGUUCUUCUUUCCAGUUGUUGCUGGCUAAUCUUAACUGAUUGGCUUGUUAGCUCUGGAUCGUUUACCUUGAAAAAAUUAGAGUGUUUAAAGCAGGCUAUUAAUGCCUUGAAUAUUUCAGCAUGGGAUAAUAGAAUAGGACUAGUUCGCUAUUUUGUUGGUUUGGGCGAAACAGUAAUGAUUAACAGAGACAGUUGGGGGCGUUUAUAUUUAAUUGUCAGAGGUGAAAUUCUUGGAUUUAAUAAAGAUAAACUUAUGCGAAAGCAUUCGCCAAGGAUGUUUUCAUUGAUCAAGAACGAAAGUUAAGGGAUCGAAGACGAUCAGAUACCGUCGUAGUCUUAACUAUAAACGAU